This 492-nucleotide ribosomal RNA is filed under the name uncultured bacterium. RNAcentral describes it as "partial 16S ribosomal RNA". It matches the Rfam family "Bacterial small subunit ribosomal RNA", at positions 29 to 507 of the family's 1533-position model. The record is from RNAcentral.
AGUGAACGCUGGCGGUAGGCCUAACACAUGCAAGUCGAACGGCAGCACAGUAAGAGCUUGCUCUUACGGGUGACGAGUGGCGGACGGGUGAGGAAUACAUCGGAAUCUACUUUUUCGUGGGGGAUAACGUAGGGAAACUUACGCUAAUACCGCAUACGACCUACGGGUGAAAGCAGGGGAUCUUCGGACCUUGCGCGAUUGAAUGAGCCGAUGUCGGAUUAGCUAGUUGGCGGGGUAAAGGCCCACCAAGGCGACGAUCCGUAGCUGGUCUGAGAGGAUGAUCAGCCACACUGGAACUGAGACACGGUCCAGACUCCUACGGGAGGCAGCAGUGGGGAAUAUUGGACAAUGGGCGCAAGCCUGAUCCAGCCAUACCGCGUGGGUGAAGAAGGCCUUCGGGCUGUAAAGCCCUUUUGUUGGGAAAGAAAAGCAGCAGGUUAAUACCCCGCUGUUCUGACGGUACCCAAAGAAUAAGCACCGGCUAACUUCGUG